Pelobates cultripes (western spadefoot toad) is the source of this 257-nucleotide non-coding RNA. NCBI's taxonomy places the organism in Eukaryota, Metazoa, Chordata, Amphibia, Anura, Pelobatidae. The record is from the annotation of a GenBank genome assembly.
CUUAAAUUCCCACACUCUUCACACAUAAAGCUUUUCAGCAAGCUAAAAUGCUUUAGCGGUCUGGAGUGUCCCUUAAAGCCCAGAUAGCGAAGAAUGAAGGGUCCAGGGUAGUUGACAUUCCUGAUAAGGAAGAUCACUUUUGUUUAAUGUGUGUUUGUGCAUAGUGCUUACAGCACAGUCAACUUUCAUGGAGAGGACCAAACCAAAGGCCAUACGUGCACAGACUCCAGCUCUGCUGAUCAUUGCCUGUAGUACAG